UCCUACGGGAGGCAGCAGUGGGGAAUAUUGCGCAAUGGAGGAAACUCUGACGCAGCGAUGCCGCGUGGGUGAAGAAGGCCUUAGGGUUGUAAAGCCCUUUCAGUGGGAACGAUGGUGACGGUACCCACAGAAGAAGCCCCGGCUAACUCCGUGCCAGCAGCCGCGGUAAUACGGAGGGGGCGAGCGUUGUUCGGAAUUAUUGGGCGUAAAGCGCGCGUAGGCGGUUUAUUAAGUCAGGAGUGAAAGCCCUGGGCUCAACCCAGGAACUGCUCUUGAAACUGGUAGACUGGAGUCCGGCAGAGGAUGGUGGAAUUCCCCGUGUAGAGGUGAAAUUCGUAGAUAUGGGGAGGAAGACCAGAGGCGAAGGCGGCCAUCUGGACCGGUACUGACGCUAAGGCGCGAGAGCGUGGGGAGCGAACAGGAUUAGAUACCCUGGUAGUCCACGCUGUAAACGAUGAGUGCUAGUUGUCGCGGGUAUCGACCCCUGCGGCAACGAAGUUAACACGUUAAGCACUCCGCCUGGGGAGUACGGCCGCAAGGCUAAAACUCAAAGGAAUUGACGGAC
RNAcentral lists this ribosomal RNA (565 nucleotides) under uncultured Magnetococcus sp. Its description in RNAcentral is "bacterial SSU rRNA". It matches the Rfam family "Bacterial small subunit ribosomal RNA", at positions 337 to 918 of the family's 1533-position model. Lineage: Bacteria; Pseudomonadati; Pseudomonadota; Magnetococcia; Magnetococcales; Magnetococcaceae. The record is from RNAcentral.